This 254-nucleotide ribosomal RNA is filed under the name uncultured bacterium. RNAcentral describes it as "partial 16S ribosomal RNA". It matches the Rfam family "Bacterial small subunit ribosomal RNA", at positions 524 to 776 of the family's 1533-position model. The record is from RNAcentral.
UACGGAAGGGGGCUAGCGUUGUUCGGAAUUACUGGGCGUAAAGCGCACGUAGGCGGACUAUUAAGUCAGGGGUGAAAUCCCGGGGCUCAACCCCGGAACUGCCUUUGAUACUGGUAGUCUCGAGUCCGGAAGAGGUGAGUGGAAUUCCGAGUGUAGAGGUGAAAUUCGUAGAUAUUCGGAGGAACACCAGUGGCGAAGGCGGCUCACUGGUCCGGUACUGACGCUGAGGUGCGAAAGCGUGGGGAGCAAACAGG